GGUUAAGUGACUAAGCGUACACGGUGGAUGCCCUGGCAGUCAGAGGCGAUGAAGGGCGUGCUAAUCUGCGAUAAGCGCCGGUAAGGUGAUAUGAACCGUUAUAACCGGCGAUACCCGAAUGGGGAAACCCAGUGUGACUCGUCACACUAUCAUUAACUGAAUCCAUAGGUUAAUGAGGCGAACCGGGGGAACUGAAACAUCUAAGUACCCCGAGGAAAAGAAAUCAACCGAGAUUCCCCCAGUAGCGGCGAGCGAACGGGGAGGAGCCCAGAGCCUGAAUCAGCAUGUGUGUUAGUGGAAGCGUCUGGAAAGGCGCGCGAUACAGGGUGACAGCCCCGUACACAAAAGCGCAUAUGCUGUGAGCUCGAUGAGUAGGGCGGGACACGUGGUAUCCUGUCUGAAUAUGGGGGGACCAUCCUCCAAGGCUAAAUACUCCUGACUGACCGAUAGUGAACCAGUACCGUGAGGGAAAGGCGAAAAGAACCCCGGCGAGGGGAGUGAAAAAGAACCUGAAACCGUGUACGUACAAGCAGUGGGAGCCCCACCACUAAGCCAGUGGUGAACUCCACAUACGCAUCCUUUGCUGAGGAUACGGUUAACGGAGCGCAAGCGACGUUCAACCGCAAAAGAAGCAGAGGGGGCUUAGUGGUGG
RNAcentral lists this ribosomal RNA (652 nucleotides) under Salmonella enterica. RNAcentral's name for it is "partial 23S ribosomal RNA". It matches the Rfam family "Bacterial large subunit ribosomal RNA", at positions 1 to 677 of the family's 2925-position model. Lineage: Bacteria; Pseudomonadati; Pseudomonadota; Gammaproteobacteria; Enterobacterales; Enterobacteriaceae. The record is from RNAcentral.